This 395-nucleotide transfer-messenger RNA is filed under the name Candidatus Sericytochromatia. RNAcentral's name for it is "GCA-2770975 sp018780035 Standard tmRNA". It matches the Rfam family "transfer-messenger RNA". From Rfam's summary of the family: Bacterial tmRNA, also known as 10Sa RNA or SsrA, is named for its dual tRNA and mRNA-like properties. RNAcentral also lists the same sequence under 1 other name. Lineage: Bacteria; Bacillati. The record is from RNAcentral.
GGGGAUGUAAAGGCUUCGACACAUUAUGUUACGGUACGAGCUGCGGGCCGAGAACGCCGAUGUUCUCGUAAAACUAUCGGCAAAAAUGUAAAUGCAAACAAGAAAAAUCUGUUUGCUGUUCCUUCGUUGAAAGCUACCCCCGCCCGCGUGGCGGUGGCUGCAUAAGCGAUUGAACGCCCCGGUUUUCUUCGGGCCACGGAAGAGGAUCGGGUAGGUUAGUGGAUGCCUGACUGGCCCAUACUGAUAAGCCAGUCAGAAAGAUUAUCAGUUAGUUGCAUCACCAUCCUGUCUGUGGGAGGGGGGCGCGAUGAAACAAACAAUAUACAGACUACGUUCCGUAGAUGUUCGUACAGUGGGUUUUGUGGACGCGAGUUCGAUUCUCGCCAUCUCCACCU